This 301-nucleotide ribosomal RNA is filed under the name uncultured bacterium. RNAcentral describes it as "partial 16S ribosomal RNA". It matches the Rfam family "Bacterial small subunit ribosomal RNA", at positions 509 to 807 of the family's 1533-position model. The record is from RNAcentral.
CAGCAGCCACGGUAAUACGAAGGGUGCAAGCGUUAAUCGGAAUUACUGGGCGUAAAGCGUGCGUAGGCGGUUUGUUAAGUCUGCUGUGAAAUCCCCGGGCUCAACCUGGGAAUGGCAGUGGAUACUGGCAAGCUAGAGUGCGUCAGAGGAUGGUGGAAUUCCCGGUGUAGCGGUGAAAUGCGUAGAGAUCGGGAGGAACAUCAGUGGCGAAGGCGGCCAUCUGGGACAACACUGACGCUGAGGCACGAAAGCGUGGGGAGCAAACAGGAUUAGAUACCCCCGUAGUCCCUGUCUCUUAUAC